This 309-nucleotide unclassified non-coding RNA is filed under the name uncultured bacterium. RNAcentral's name for it is "contains 16S-23S intergenic spacer region". The record is from RNAcentral.
AGGCCGCGAUGAACACCCUGCUCGCCCCCUUCCUGCGCCGUUUUGCCACAGUCUUCUUUGAUGAUAUUUUGGUCUACAGCGACUCAUUAUCAUCUCAUCUCCACCACCUCGAGCUUGUCUUUCAGGCAUUGUUGCAACAACAAUUCUUCCUUAAGCGCACCAAAUGCUUGAUUGCCCAGCGCCAAUUGGAGUACCUCGGGCACCUCGUCUCCGCUAAGGGAGUCGAACCUGAACCAUCCAAGCUCCAGGCUAUCGUGAACUGGCCAUCUCCAACAUCGGCUAAGGACCUCCGGGCCUUUCUCGGUCUCA